RNAcentral lists this long non-coding RNA (911 nucleotides) under Nicotiana tabacum (common tobacco). RNAcentral's name for it is "long non-coding RNA (NTAB_LNC011510)". Lineage: Eukaryota; Viridiplantae; Streptophyta; Magnoliopsida; Solanales; Solanaceae. The record is from RNAcentral.
UACCCUGCGAAUCGAUAAUGUGAUUUAGCUAACAAAAAAAUUGGCCUUGUCGAACCUUGAUCUUAAGCUUGGCAUCUGUCAUUUAUCCAAUUGGUAAAAUCCUAUGGCUCAUCUGGGAAGUUGCAUAGCAGAGAGAUAUAGAGAAGCUUCGUUACCUUUACUUGCAUGCUUUGCUAAGUAAUCUGCCACAUAAUUGGCCUACCUAAAGCAGUGGGUGAACUUGACAUUAGUAUGUUUCAACUUUUGUGAAGUUACAUCAACUAUACUCUUCAUUUUGUAGUUGUUGGUAGUCUCUUUUUUGAGCAUUCUUAUAACAAUUAGAGAAUCUAUAUCCAAAGCAAAGUUCGUGUAUCCAUUAUGCAGGUACCAAUUGACACCAAACUCGGCAGCUAAAGCUUCAGAGACAUUGUUACUGCUACAGGUGAUUGGGCAGGAGAAGGCCAUGAUACAUUCCCCACUUUCAUCUCCUAGAAUACCCCCUAUUCCGGCCUUGCCGGUUUGAAUUAUAUAACUACCAUCCGUGUUCAAUUUGAGAGUACCUGUUUCAGGUUUUUGCCAAACAACAAUACACUUUGGGAUAGGCUGCAUUCUCAUCAUUUUAUCACACAGGUUGAUCCAUGGUAAUAUCAGGUUGCAAUUAGGGAACUCCUUAUUGAUAGCUAGUUGUACAGUCAAACUAAUUUGUUGUUUCAUUCUGAAAAGCUUAAACCUUUUUUGAUCACCAUACUUGCAAGCACAAUUUUCCUUCCAAAUCUCCCAGCAAAUUAUAAUUGGAAGUGCCUGAAAAAUAAAUUUAUGAAUUGUAUUAGUAGCUUUACAUUGCCACCAUGAGUUUAGAAGAUACCUUAUAGGCCAGUUGUGAUGCUUGAUACCCAGUGGAGCUCCGAAAAAAUUCCAAAUAUAAUUUGCAG